Molecule: ribosomal RNA, 208 nt
Filed under: Umbilicaria antarctica
Lineage: Eukaryota; Fungi; Ascomycota; Lecanoromycetes; Umbilicariales; Umbilicariaceae
Description: partial 18S ribosomal RNA
Rfam family: Eukaryotic small subunit ribosomal RNA
Source: RNAcentral
AGUCAUCAGCUCGCGUUGAUUACGUCCCUGCCCUUUGUACACACCGCCCGUCGCUACUACCGAUUGAAUGGCUCANUGAGGCCUUCGGACUGGCUCAGGGAGGUCGGCAACGACCACCCAGAGCCGGAAAGUUCGUCAAACUUGGUCAUUUAGAGGAAGUAAAAGUCGUAACAAGGUUUCCGUAGGNNAACCUGCGGAAGGAUCAUUA